Brassica oleracea var. oleracea is the source of this 1794-nucleotide long non-coding RNA. RefSeq lists it as uncharacterized. The transcript is spliced from 4 exons. Lineage: Eukaryota; Viridiplantae; Streptophyta; Magnoliopsida; Brassicales; Brassicaceae. The record is from RefSeq and is a predicted model, not a curated record.
CGAUUAUCUCACAUCGUUGUCACCGAUCAAAUUCUGCACUUAUCCAUUACAGUAACCUAAGUUUCAACAAUCUAUUAUCGUACCUUAAAUGGGUUUGUUCCAUCUCCCCUUAUAUCUCUUUCUAUAUAAAGUGUUAUGUCUGAUCUUCAAUCAACCCUAAUAGAAAAAUCUAUACUGAAGAAGCUACAGCAACUGUCAUGAAAUCCACCGGUAAAUCUCCCUCAGCACCAGAAUGUCUUCAGAAAGCAAGGCCGAACCUUUAUUGUGUUUAGAGCUCCUUCUCAUCCAUGAACAGACAGGAAAACAGUACUUACCUCCAACGUAAUCCAUGGCGGUUGACUCCUUCUUUCCGAUCACUACAGCAUGAUAAAGUGAAUCUAGAGGAUGUGGGAUCUCAAUCGUUCCUCCGUUCUCCAAGUAUGAUGAAGUCGGCUUUAAGAAUAUAACUGGUUCCUGUUCGAAAGAGAGAAUCUGCAUACGAUUGGUUUACAGAGAAAGCGACUGAUUCCAGGAAUUGUGAGAGAAUCUGCAUACCUUGGGAAGGGCGUUGACAUGAGCGGCCUAGUUGCGACUGACGCCGACGAUCUUGGUGCCUUGCUUGAACUGCCUCUCUAUCAUCGACGUCGCCAUUUUCUCCGAUCUGAAUUCAAUCAAUACUCUGGUUGACUCUGGUGUCUAAGUAGAAUUACAUUGUUGUUCAAGUAAUAGACUUUACGAAUAUGUUGCCAUUUGUGAAACAUUUUCGCUGAUGUCUAUUCUUUUAAGAGUUAACCAAAAACAAGGAAUUUAGUUCUCAGUUCAGUGGUUAUCAGUUGUAGAGCAAACAGUGUUAUGUUUGCCAAUUUCAAGUAAUAUUAUAAUUCAGUCUCUCUUGGACUGAGAAAUCUAUUGUUUUCUAAAUUGUCUCAGGUAGUGUUCUAACACAAAGAUUUUCUAAGCUGGUUACUGCAGAUGAGGUUACCGGAGCUGAGAUCAUGAGAAUUGGGAAAAUCUUUGCUUACACCAAGCAGGAAUGCCAAGGUUAAAUAAAAGCCGAUUGUCAAACUAAGACCACCAGAGGCCCUUCUUCGUUGAUGUUAACCAAGUGUGGCAACACAACACUAACAUUGCUGGUGUAGCAAAAUCUCUGUCUACGACAAUAAUAGCCAGGCUUUUUUCGUCCUACUUGGUGACGCAGGACGUGAGUGGACAUGGAAGCAUGCCUCGGAAUUAGUUGACAACAACUUUGAGAUAACUAGCCAUCAACUGAAAAUCCUCUCCCAGUUCAUUAAAACUCACUUUAUUCCUCCUCAAUCGAGAACUUGGUUCUUACCAUGAGAUGCAUGCCCCCAAAAUUUAUUCGACACCAUUCGGCAAACACAUUAGUUCAGGGUCAAGAUGUCUGACUACAACUCCACAGACAAGACUCAAGCUAUAACUGUUACUAAGAUUGUCUCACCAGGAGUUCUUCCACCUGUAACAACUCAACUGAAAUCCCUCUUGAUGCAAACAAUGAAGUUGAUGUGCUCUCUGCAAGUGUCGUUGCGGGCUCUGGAUUCAAUACUGAUAAGCGAAAUGAAAGUAUCAGUAACAGGGAUGAAUCACAGAAGGCUAAGCGUCCGAAACGUGGAAAAUAGAGAGAUCAUACAACUCAUUUCAUACGAUGCAGUGUCACUGUCUUCUUUAUUUUCAUUUUGAGCCAAGACUAUGUUUUCUAUGUCUUAUUUUGAAUUUUCUGUCUUGCUUUGGUUUAAUAUUUGCAAACAGUAUGCUUCUUUCUUUAGGCUUUGAUUUCAUUGGAAUACAUACAUAAUG